Molecule: ribosomal RNA, 253 nt
Filed under: uncultured bacterium
Lineage: Bacteria
Description: partial 16S ribosomal RNA
Rfam family: Bacterial small subunit ribosomal RNA
Source: RNAcentral
UACGAAGGGGGCUAGCGUUGUUCGGAAUUACUGGGCGUAAAGCGCACGUGGGCGGAUAUUUAAGUCAGGGGUGAAAUCCCGGGGCUCAACCCCGGAACUGCCUUUGAUACUGGGUAUCUGGAGUCCGGAAGAGGUGAGUGGAAUUCCGAGUGUAGAGGUGAAAUUCGUAGAUAUUCGGAGGAACACCAGUGGCGAAGGCGGCUCACUGGUCCGGUACUGACGCUGAGGUGCGAAAGCGUGGGGAGCAAACAGG